UGGCUUUUUGCACCAACACUAUUGUUGAAGGGAUUCUCCCUCGGGUCCUCUUCGGAGCCGUCGACCUCCUCGAUGGCAGCCCUGCUAUUGCAGCUCUUGCAUGCCAACAUCUUCUUCCUCCUCCUCCUUUCGGCCCCCGGUGCCUCCUCGGGACGAGCCUCUGGAGCGGGAACCUCGACUGGGGGGCUUCUUGAAGAGGCUCGAGGGACUGCGGCCUUGGCAUCAG
This 226-nucleotide long non-coding RNA is filed under the name Elaeis guineensis (African oil palm). RNAcentral's name for it is "long non-coding RNA (EGUI_LNC067305)". The record is from RNAcentral. Lineage: Eukaryota; Viridiplantae; Streptophyta; Magnoliopsida; Arecales; Arecaceae.